GGAGGAAAAGAAACUAACAAGGAUUCCCCUAGUAGCGGCGAGCGAAGCGGGAAGAGCUCAAAUUUAUAAUCUGGCACUUUCAGUGUCCGAGUUGUAAUCUCUAGAAGUGUUUUCCGCAUUGGACCGCACACAAGUCUGUUGGAAUACAGCGGCACAGUGGUGAGACCCCCGUAUACGGUGCGGAUGCCCAAUGCUUUGUGAUACACUUUCGAAGAGUCGAGUUGUUUGGGAAUGCAGCUCAAAUUGGGUGGUAAAUUCCAUCUAAAGCUAAAUAUUGGCGAGAGACCGAUAGCGAACAAGUACCGUGAGGGAAAGAUGAAAAGCACUUUGGAAAGAGAGUUAACAGUACGUGAAAUUGUUGGAAGGGAAACGCUUGAAGUCAGACUUGCUAUUCGGGGCUUGCUCCGAGUUGCAGGCCAGCAUCAGUUUUCUGGGGUGGAAAAUCACGGUUAGAAGGUAGCAACUCCGGUUGUGUUAUAGCUUUCCGUUGGAUACAUCCUGGGGGACUGAGGAACGCAGUGUGCUUUUAGCAGGAGCUUCGGCUUCAUCACACUUAGGAUGCUGGUGGAAUGGCUUUAAACGACCCGUCUUGA
RNAcentral lists this ribosomal RNA (593 nucleotides) under Rhodosporidiobolus odoratus. Its description in RNAcentral is "eukaryotic LSU rRNA". It matches the Rfam family "Eukaryotic large subunit ribosomal RNA", at positions 52 to 657 of the family's 3401-position model. Lineage: Eukaryota; Fungi; Basidiomycota; Microbotryomycetes; Sporidiobolales; Sporidiobolaceae. The record is from RNAcentral.